This 253-nucleotide ribosomal RNA is filed under the name uncultured bacterium. RNAcentral describes it as "partial 16S ribosomal RNA". It matches the Rfam family "Bacterial small subunit ribosomal RNA", at positions 524 to 776 of the family's 1533-position model. The record is from RNAcentral.
CACGUAGGGGGCGAGCGUUGUCCGGAUUUACUGGGCGUAAAGAGCGUGUAGGCGGCCACGCAGGUCCGUUGUGAAAACUGGAGGCUCAACCUUCAGACGUCGACGGAAACCGUGUGGCUAGAGUCCGGAAGAGGAGAGUGGAAUUCCUGGUGUAGCGGUGAAAUGCGCAGAUAUCAGGAAGAACACCAAUGGCGAAGGCAGCUCUCUGGGACGGUACUGACGCUGAGACGCGAAAGCGUGGGGAGCGAACAGG